RNAcentral lists this ribosomal RNA (494 nucleotides) under uncultured bacterium. Its description in RNAcentral is "partial 16S ribosomal RNA". It matches the Rfam family "Bacterial small subunit ribosomal RNA", at positions 28 to 507 of the family's 1533-position model. The record is from RNAcentral.
GACGAACGCUGGCGGCGUGCUUAACACAUGCAAGUCGAACGGAAAGGCCUGCUUUCCCUUGUGGAUUGCGGGUACUCGAGUGGCGAACGGGUGAGUAACACGUGAGUGAUCUGCCCCCAACUUGGGUAUAAGCCUGGGAAACUGGGUCUAAUUCCCGAUAGGACUGCAGGGUGGUGCCUGUGGUGGAAAACGAUUUUCUAGUGGUUGGGGAUGAGCUCGCGGCCUAUCAGCUUGUUGGUGGGGUAAUGGCCUACCAAGGCGGCGACGGGUAGCCGGCCUGAGAGGGUGGACGGGCACAUUGGGACUGAGAUACGGCCCAGACUCCUACGGGAGGCAGCAGUGGGGAAUAUUGCACAAUGGGCGGAAGCCUGAUGCAGCGACGCAGCGUGGGGGAUGACGGCCUUCGGGUUGUAAACUCCUUUCGACCGCGAGGAAGCCACCUGGUUGGAAGGGUGGUGACGGUAGUGGUAGAAGAAGCACCGGCUAACUACGUG